This 433-nucleotide ribosomal RNA is filed under the name uncultured bacterium. RNAcentral's name for it is "partial 16S ribosomal RNA". It matches the Rfam family "Bacterial small subunit ribosomal RNA", at positions 29 to 507 of the family's 1533-position model. The record is from RNAcentral.
AACGAACGCUGGCGGCAUGCCUAACACAUGCAAGUCGAACGACACCUUCGUGUCUAGUGGCGCACGGGUGCGUAACGCGUGGGAACCUGCCCUUAGGUUCGGAAUAACUCCCCGAAAGGGGUGCUAAUACCGGAUAAUUUCUUCGGACCAAAGAUUUAUCGCCUUUGGAUGGGCCCGCGUUGGAUUAGCUAGUGGGUAGGGUAAAAGCCUAUCAAGGCGACGAUCCAUAGCUGGGCUGAGAGGAUGAUCAGCCACACUGGGACUGAGACACGGCCCAGACUCCUACGGGAUGCAGCAGUGGGGAAUAUUGGACAAUGGGCGAAAGCCUGAUCCAGCAAGGCCGCGUGAGUGAUGAAGGCCUUAGGGUUGUAAAGCUCUUUUACCCGGGAUGAUAAUGACAGUACCGGGAGAAUAAGCUCCGGCUAACUCCGUG